GACGAACGCUGGCGGCGUGCCUAAUACAUGCAAGUUGAGCGAUGAAGAUUGGUGCUUGCACCAAUUUGAAGAGCAGCGAACGGGUGAGUAACGCGUGGGGAAUCUGCCUUUGAGCGGGGGACAACAUUUGGAAACGAAUGCUAAUACCGCAUAACAACUUUAAACAUAAGUUUUAAGUUUGAAAGAUGCAAUUGCAUCACUCAAGGAUGAUCCCGCGUUGUAUUAGCUAGUUGGUGAGGUAAAGGCUCACCAAGGCGAUGAUACAUAGCCGACCUGAGAGGGUGAUCGGCCACAUUGGGACUGAGACACGGCCCAAACUCCUACGGGAGGCAGCAGUAGGGAAUCUUCGGCAAUGGACGAAAGUCUGACCGAGCAACGCCGCGUGAGUGAAGAAGGUUUUCGGAUCGUAAAACUCUGUUGGUAGAGAAGAACGUUGGUGAGAGUGGAAAGCUCAUCAAGUGACGGUAACUACCCAGAAAGGGACGGCUAACUACGUG
This 497-nucleotide ribosomal RNA is filed under the name uncultured bacterium. Its description in RNAcentral is "partial 16S ribosomal RNA". It matches the Rfam family "Bacterial small subunit ribosomal RNA", at positions 28 to 507 of the family's 1533-position model. The record is from RNAcentral.